Molecule: ribosomal RNA, 460 nt
Filed under: Nerita magdalenae
Lineage: Eukaryota; Metazoa; Mollusca; Gastropoda; Cycloneritida; Neritidae
Description: partial 16S large subunit ribosomal RNA
Rfam family: Bacterial large subunit ribosomal RNA
Source: RNAcentral
CAGUGAUCACUUUAACGGCCGCGGUACCCUGACCGUGCAAAGGUAGCAUAAUCAUUUGCCUUUUAAUUGGAGGCUAGUAUGAAUGGUCUGACGAGAGUAAAACUGUCUCAUAUGUAUUUAAUAGAAAUUAACCUAAAGGUGCAAAGGCCUUUAUAUACCAAAAAGACGAGAAGACCCUGUUGAGCUUUAAUCUCAUGCAGGCAUUUUUUCUAUAUUUAUAAAUCCAUUUUGCUUACUAAAGAUUUUAAUUGGGGCGAUUAAGGAACACCCUAUAGCUUCCUGAUUAUAAGUUAAAUCGAUCCAGCAAUGCUGAUCAGCAAAAUGAGUUACCACAGGGAUAACAGCAUAAUUCUUCUCAAGAGCCCAUAUCGAAAGAAGAGAUUGUGACCUCGAUGUUGGACUAGGGUGACCAGAAGGUGCAGCCGCUUUCUUGUUUGGUCUGUUCGACCAGUAAUUCCCU